This 386-nucleotide ribosomal RNA is filed under the name uncultured Clostridium sp. Its description in RNAcentral is "bacterial SSU rRNA". It matches the Rfam family "Bacterial small subunit ribosomal RNA", at positions 355 to 755 of the family's 1533-position model. The record is from RNAcentral. Lineage: Bacteria; Bacillati; Bacillota; Clostridia; Eubacteriales; Clostridiaceae.
UGGGGAAUAUUGGGCAAUGGGGGAAACCCUGACCCAGCAACGCCGCGUGAAGGAAGAAGGCCUUCGGGUUGUAAACUUCUUUUAGCAGGGACGAAGGACGUGACGGUACCUGCAGAAAAAGCAACGGCUAACUACGUGCCAGCAGCCGCGGUAAUACGUAGGUUGCAAGCGUUGUCCGGAAUUACUGGGUGUAAAGGGCGUGUAGGCGGAGAUGCAAGUUGGGAGUGAAAUCCAUGGGCUUAACCCAUGAACUGCUCUCAAAACUGUAUCCCUUGAGUAUCGGAGAGGCAAGCGGAAUUCCUAGUGUAGCGGUGAAAUGCGUAGAUAUUAGGAGGAACACCAGUGGCGAAGGCGGCUUGCUGGACGACAACUGACGCUGAGGCGCG